AUUAAGUAAAUAAUAUAGAUUAUUUUUGUAACAUUAAACAUUUAAAAAAAAAUAAAAUAGAGGUAAAAACACACAAAAAUAAAAGAGAUAAACAAAAAAAAUAAAGUAUUUGGCCUUUUGACCCCAAAAUAAGCCCAAAUGGCCGCACCAUCAGUAAAUAAUGGGGGUGCAAAGAGUCAGAAUCGACUCUAGGCCCAAAGGGAG
RNAcentral lists this long non-coding RNA (204 nucleotides) under Lathyrus oleraceus (garden pea). Its description in RNAcentral is "Pisum sativum (pea) long non-coding RNA (PSAT_LNC031631)". The record is from RNAcentral. Lineage: Eukaryota; Viridiplantae; Streptophyta; Magnoliopsida; Fabales; Fabaceae.